Long non-coding RNA from Physella acuta, 617 nucleotides. RefSeq lists it as uncharacterized. Lineage: Eukaryota; Metazoa; Mollusca; Gastropoda; Physidae. The record is from RefSeq and is a predicted model, not a curated record.
UUCUUCAUUUACUUCUGAAUUGCUAUUUCGUCUUGGGAUAUAUUCAAAUAUUAAAUGUUAUUAUAUUCAUUUUUAAUUAUCAAACAAGACAACUUAGGAAUACAGCUUAUUUCAGCGUUGUGUUUAAAUACAUAAAAACUAUCCAAACUAAACUCAGAUUAAAAAAAUCCAAAUGCAUCUUCUGUUGGUUAUCACAUUGGCGGUGUGUCUAAGCUGCGCUGUGGCCAAAUACUGUUCCUUGGUGGGGAAGCGCUACAACCCUGGCGAGGUUCUUACAUUCGGCAAAUGCAACAGCAAAUGCACAUGUCGAGGGGAUAAGUUCGAAUGUGAGAUAAAGCGUUGCCGUGGUGACAUCACGUGGUGCUAUCACAUGGGCAAGAUAUACGACUCAGGCGAGCAGAUCCUAGACGACUGUAAUGAAUGCAUUUGUGCUGGGCCUGACAUUGAAUGUACAGAAAUGGAAUGUGAUUAUUAAACAGACUGACCACCAAAUAUCUAACGUAAACGCUUAUAUGUAGAGCUUUUGUGAAACACCUACUGUAGUUAGUGGACUGUAAAGAAAUAAGAAAGUUUAUCCUGCACAUGAAUUCUUUACAAAAAAAAAAUAAACAUAUUUU